This 253-nucleotide ribosomal RNA is filed under the name uncultured bacterium. RNAcentral describes it as "partial 16S ribosomal RNA". It matches the Rfam family "Bacterial small subunit ribosomal RNA", at positions 524 to 776 of the family's 1533-position model. The record is from RNAcentral.
UACGUAGGGUGCGAGCGUUAAUCGGAAUUACUGGGCGUAAAGUGUGCGCAGGCGGCCGAGCAAGUCGAGUGUGAAAGCCCCGGGCUUAACUUGGGAAUUGCGCUCGAAACUACUUGGCUGGAGUGUGGCAGAGGAAGGUGGAAUUCCAGGUGUAGCGGUGAAAUGCGUAGAUAUCAAGAGGAACACCUGAGGUGAAGACGGGUUGCUGGGCUGACACUGACGCUGAGGCGCGAAAGCCAGGGGAGCAAACGGG